GGCGGAGCAUGCGGAUUAAUUCGAUGCAACGCGAAGAACCUUACCAAGGCUUGACAUACAGGGAAAUCUCGCAGAGAUGUGAGGUCCGCAAGGUCCUGUACAGGUGGUGCAUGGUUGUCGUCAGCUCGUGUCGUGAGAUGUUGGGUUAAGUCCCGCAGCGAGCGCAACCCUCGUCCUAUGUUGCCAGCGGGUCGUGCCGGGGACUCAUAGGAGACUGCCGGGGUCAACUCGGAGGAAGGUGGGAUGACGUCAAAUCAUCAUGCCCCUUAUGUCUUGGGCUUCACGCAUGCUACAAUGGCCAGUACAAAGGGCUGCGAGACCGUGAGGUGGAGCGAAUCCCAAAAAGCUGGUCUCAGUUCGGAUUGGGGUCUGCAACUCGACCCCAUGAAGUCGGAGUCGCUAGUAAUCGCAGAUCAGCAACGCUGCGGUGAAUACGUUCCCGGGCCUU
This 448-nucleotide ribosomal RNA is filed under the name uncultured Quadrisphaera sp. RNAcentral's name for it is "bacterial SSU rRNA". It matches the Rfam family "Bacterial small subunit ribosomal RNA", at positions 931 to 1382 of the family's 1533-position model. Lineage: Bacteria; Bacillati; Actinomycetota; Actinomycetes; Kineosporiales; Kineosporiaceae. The record is from RNAcentral.